This 635-nucleotide ribosomal RNA is filed under the name uncultured Marinobacter sp. RNAcentral's name for it is "bacterial SSU rRNA". It matches the Rfam family "Bacterial small subunit ribosomal RNA", at positions 870 to 1504 of the family's 1533-position model. Lineage: Bacteria; Pseudomonadati; Pseudomonadota; Gammaproteobacteria; Pseudomonadales; Marinobacteraceae. The record is from RNAcentral.
CGCCUGGGGAGUACGGCCGCAAGGUUAAAACUCAAAUGAAUUGACGGGGGCCCGCACAAGCGGUGGAGCAUGUGGUUUAAUUCGACGCAACGCGAAGAACCUUACCUGGCCUUGACAUCCAGAGAGCUUUCCAGAGAUGGAUUGGUGCCUUCGGGAACUCUGAGACAGGUGCUGCAUGGCCGUCGUCAGCUCGUGUCGUGAGAUGUUGGGUUAAGUCCCGUAACGAGCGCAACCCCUAUCCCUGGUUGCUAGCAGGUAAUGCUGAGAACUCCAGGGAGACUGCCGGUGACAAACCGGAGGAAGGUGGGGAUGACGUCAGGUCAUCAUGGCCCUUACGGCCAGGGCUACACACGUGCUACAAUGGCGCGUACAGAGGGCUGCCAACUCGCGAGAGUGAGCCAAUCCCUUAAAACGCGUCGUAGUCCGGAUCGGAGUCUGCAACUCGACUCCGUGAAGUCGGAAUCGCUAGUAAUCGCGAAUCAGAAUGUCGCGGUGAAUACGUUCCCGGGCCUUGUACACACCGCCCGUCACACCAUGGGAGUGGAUUGCACCAGAAGUAGUUAGUCUAACCUUCGGGAGGACGAUUACCACGGUGUGGUUCAUGACUGGGGUGAAGUCGUAACAAGGUAACCGUA